This 1257-nucleotide long non-coding RNA is filed under the name Sus scrofa (pig). RNAcentral describes it as "lncRNA (ENSSSCG00070015172.1)". Lineage: Eukaryota; Metazoa; Chordata; Mammalia; Artiodactyla; Suidae. The record is from RNAcentral.
AUGAAAACCAACAAAAAUAAAAAUGUAAUGUUUUCUUCUGACUUUAACUUUUCAAGAACUUCUAGAAUCAUUAUAGAAAGUGAAGAUCUGGAUGUGGCACCAUUCCCUCCUGCCCAUUUAUUUCUUUCUAGAGACCAAGUCAGACUCCUGGAAGAAAAUGUGAGAAAUCAAAUUCCUUUAAAAUCCAAAGCUUCGUUAGAGAGUAAAGCUACCCAUCUGUACUCAAGUUCUCAAGAGUCCUUGAUUCAGAAUCAGCAUUCUGUUAGAAUGGACAUUUUUGCCCAAGCGCAAGAUUCUUUUCCAGGACAAAGCGAUACUCAGUAUCAAAGUUUUUCUGAAGCACAAUUUACUAGUCAAGCCCGAGAGUCUGUUAACAACCAGGAAUCAAUCAGCAGCCAUGCUGAUGUCAAGGCCAGGUACUUUGCUCUGCCUCAAGAGCUGAUGAAGAAACCACUCUCCAGCAGCACACACGCUUCCUUCCAGACAAAAGACAUGGUCAGGAACCAACCGUCAGUCGAAGUCCCACAUUCUGUUGAGACCAAAGAUUCCAUCGAGGGCCUAGACUCUGAUAAAAAACACUUAGAUGAGGCCCAAUAUUCUGUUUGGUUUGAAGAUUCAAACGAGAUUAAAUAUUUAAUCCAGUUGGAAAAUACUAUUUUUAAGAAUGCCAGGUUUCUAGUUUUAACUCUGAACCCAAAGUCGGUAGUUAAAGGCCUGCCACAGCUAAAGAGUGUAAGGACAAAGGGCCGGAAACAAAUUGCUUCCUCGAAAUUAAAGCGGUAUCACGCUUAUGGCUCAGUGCCUCUUGCACCUACCUUGAACAGGCAGAAAAAGAGAAGAAAAAGCUUACACUGUAAAAGUAAAUUUAGGCUCAGAGUUCCACCUCAGAAGUCAAAGGAAACACCAACUUCACGGGUAUUUCAAAUCACAGGUAUUUCGUGUCACACUUCAGAAUGUAGCAAGUUAAGACACAGGUACGUUAAGAAGAAAGCGUUACAUCAAAGAAAAAGUAUACCAGGUAUCGUGUUGCGUCUUAUUUAUGUUUUCAAGUUUGUUCCUCCUUAUAGCAGGAAGUAUUCCCAGAAAAGACUAGUGAGAUCCAUGCCGGAUUUAAUAGGAUGUGGCCGUUUUCUGCUGAAGCAACAACAUAAAUCACCACACGCAGAGCAAGUCAGCCAUGCAGGGUCUACCAAGAAAGGAGGAACCUCGGAGAGUACUAAAAAUACAGAGCACAUGGCAGAGAGACUACAGGGCUAA